GCGCGGCCCACACAUGCAGUCGAGCGGAUGAAGGGAGCUGGCUCCUGGAUUCAGCGGCGGACGGGUGAGUAAUGGCUAGGAAUCUGCCUGGUAGUGGGGGAUAACGUCCGGAAACGGGCGCUAAUACCGCAUACGUCCUGAGGGAGAAAGUGGGGGAUCUUCGGACCUCACGCUAUCAGAUGAGCCUAGGUCGGAUUAGCUAGUUGGUGGGGUAAAGGCCUACCAAGGCGACGAUCCGUAACUGGUCUGAGAGGAUGAUCAGUCACACUGGAACUGAGACACGGUCCAGACUCCUACGGGAGGCAGCAGUGGGGAAUAUUGGACAAUGGGCGAGAGCCUGAUCCAGCCAUGCCGCGGGUGUGAAGAAGGUCUUCGGAUUGUAAAGCACUUUAAGUUGGGAGGAAGGGCAGUAAGUUAAUACCUUGCUGUUUUGACGUUACCAACAGAAUAGGCACCGGCUAACUGUCGUGCCAGCAGCCGCGGUAAUACGAAGGGUGCAAGCGUUAAUCGGAAUUACUGGGCGUAAAGCGCGCGUAGGUGGUUCAGCAAGUUGGAUGUGAAAUCCCCGGGCUCAACCUGGGAACUGCAUCCAAAACUACUGAGCUAGAGUACGGUAGAGGGUGGUGGAAUUUCCUGUGUAGCGGUGAACAUGCGUAGAUAUAGGAAGGAACACCAGUGGCUAAGGCGACCACCUGGACUGAUACUGACACUGAGGUGCGAAAGCGUGGGGAGCAAACAGGAUUAGAUACCC
RNAcentral lists this ribosomal RNA (751 nucleotides) under Pseudomonas aeruginosa. RNAcentral describes it as "bacterial SSU rRNA". It matches the Rfam family "Bacterial small subunit ribosomal RNA", at positions 42 to 787 of the family's 1533-position model. The record is from RNAcentral. Lineage: Bacteria; Pseudomonadati; Pseudomonadota; Gammaproteobacteria; Pseudomonadales; Pseudomonadaceae.